Molecule: ribosomal RNA, 447 nt
Filed under: uncultured bacterium
Lineage: Bacteria
Description: SSU rRNA
Rfam family: Bacterial small subunit ribosomal RNA
Source: RNAcentral
AGAGCGAACGCUGGCGGCAGGCUUAACACAUGCAAGUAGAGCGGGCGUAGCAAUACGUCAGCGGCAGACGGGUGAGUAACGCGUGGGAACAUACCUUUUGGUUCGGAACAACACAGGGAAACUUGUGCUAAUACCGGAUAAGCCCUUACGGGGAAAGAUUUAUCGCCGAAAGAUUGGCCCGCGUCUGAUUAGCUAGUUGGUGAGGUAACGGCUCACCAAGGCGACGAUCAGUAGCUGGUCUGAGAGGAUGAUCAGCCACAUUGGGACUGAGACACGGCCCAAACUCCUACGGGAGGCAGCAGUGGGAAUAUUGGACAAUGGGCGCAAGCCUGAUCCAGCCAUGCCGCGUGAGUGAUGAAGGCCCUAGGGUUGUAAAGCUCUUUUGUGCGGGAAGAUAAUGACGGUACCGCAAGAAUAAGCCCCGGCUAACUUCGCGCCAGCAGCCGC